AUCCACUAGAUCCAUAAGCCCGUAACGGAAAAUAGCCUUUCUUUUCCCAAACCUCGUUCGAUCCCGAACUGCAUUCAAAAAUGAAGCAAGGACUUGGUUCUCUGAGCAAAGUAGUCUAGCCGUAACCGCUACAGUCAAAAAAGUCAAGUAAGAAAUGAUAGAAUGAGGUAGUUUACUAGCUUGGCCAAAGGGAAAGGACUAUUCAAGCAUUCAUUCCA
Molecule: long non-coding RNA, 218 nt
Filed under: Jatropha curcas
Lineage: Eukaryota; Viridiplantae; Streptophyta; Magnoliopsida; Malpighiales; Euphorbiaceae
Description: long non-coding RNA (JCUR_LNC002464)
Source: RNAcentral